Molecule: long non-coding RNA, 1237 nt
Filed under: Citrus x clementina
Lineage: Eukaryota; Viridiplantae; Streptophyta; Magnoliopsida; Sapindales; Rutaceae
Description: Citrus clementina (C. clementina) long non-coding RNA (CCLE_LNC000894)
Source: RNAcentral
CAUAAAAAUAAGAUUCUCAUUUCUUAUUUCCACUAUUUCUAUCAUAUUCUCACUUCUAAUAAUUCCUCGUUCUCAUUCUCCAUCCCAAUAACUAACACCUUAGACUAAUAAUUUUCAAUUUCCCCCCAAAACAAAAAAAAAAAAAAUCAAUUUAUCCCCCAAAUAAUGUCGCUGACGUAUUAAAUUAUCCCCCAAAUAUAUUCUGUCAACAAACCAUUUUAUAGCCAAAAAUACUGAUUUAAUCAAAUACAAAUAAGUUAAUUUUUAAACAUUAAAAAUAAAGCAUUAUUUAUAAAUAAAAAAAUUAAUAAGAUGCAAAACUAUUCACGAUCAAAUCAUCUUCACCAAUUGGAAUUCGAUCAUUCAAAUUCCUAAUCUAAUUCCACUUCACCACAUCACUCACUGGAUGAAAUUCAAACUCCUCAAUCCAAGCCAUUCAAAUUCCUUAUCUGUCUCCAUAAAUUUAAAAAUCGAAGUAAAACCCUAAUCUAGCAUAUACACCCAAUUCAAUAACAGCCACCAUCGAGUGUUCCAAAACCCUAAUACAAUGAUUGACUGAUUGGUGACUGCUGGGUUUGAUUGUUAUCGAUUGUCCGAAUACAUUAAUGAUGGCCGCAAGGCCCAAUUCCCAGUGGAAGAUGGCAAAUCGACGGUAAAGCUGCGCGUGGGUUUGAAUAUGAUGGUGCGUUUGUCUUUGUGAGAAAGAAGUUGAGAAUUUCAGAAUGAUAUGUGAUAAAAUAAUUUCAGAAUUGAUGAAGAAGACGAAGAACAAAGAAGAAAGAGUAAGAAGCAGCAGAAUUGAUUUUGUUAUUUUUUUUCUUUUUCUUUAUCCCUUAAAACCAAUAAAUUAAUUAUUUUCGUUUGUUUUGUUAAAUUUUAAUUAAGUAUAUUGGUUUUUAAUUCAUAUUUCAAAUAUUGUUUUUCUUUAUCACUCGGAUUUUUAUCAAUUUUGUUUAUCCCAAUCGGGUGUUUAUCACUUUUAUCUUUAAAUUAAGGAUUAAAAUAAAAAGACAAUUAUGAAAACAAAAAUUAGUGGUUCGGGUGUAAGGAAAAACUUAAUAAGACAUUUGGCGAAUGUUAAAAUUUAUUGAACAAUUGAGAGUGGCUUGAAAAUAAUCAGUAAAAAAAAGAGUGCUGAGAUAUUUUCAGUUUUUCACCCCGCAAUUUUUGUAAACCAACGCCACUUCUAGGGCUAGUUUAGAAAUAAUGUACUUUUUAAAAUAAUUGUUGUUAUUUG